UCUGAAGGCUAUUAAUUUGUUCCUUGCUGGCAGAGAUUUCUGUUUUUCUUUUUCUUUCCUUCUACGAUGACCAUGAAGCUGAUCAGUACGAGAUAAUGGUCAUUUCUUCAAAAUGACAGCUUACUUUAAUCUGUCUUUCCGACCCUUGUGGAGACAUCCUGGGAUGUAUCUGCCCUUCCCAAGGAGCUCUCUCACCACAGGAAAAUAAGCAGGGCUAUAGCAGGCUCGGAACAGCACCCCAGAGGCAAUUUAUUCAUUGCGCCAGGUCUACCUUUCUGCAUGGACAAUACUCAGACUGCAUAAGUAUGUCCCAACAUUUUAAGCAGCCACAACUGCCAUUACUUCUGCCCACAAGGGAGAGAGCAGUGGUGAAGGCGCAUGGAAAGGCUAUCUCUGCCUGCAGUGUGAGGCUGCAGACUGAUCCGAUAACAUAACACCAUGGAUUCUGUAUCCACGAGGCUGCCCAAAACUGUUUGCAGAUUUGGUGCAGAGGAGCGGCAUGGACUCAUCUGGACUGGAUGAGUGCAGAAUGGUGCAGAGAAGAAAUAUGUGGGCAACCAGCAAAGCAGCAGCAGAACAAACUUUCUAGAUCUGUUCUCUUUUUUUUUCCUUGGAGGCCAGGUAGGUUAAUGGAGAGUGUGAAAAAGGAGAGAUAACUUCACCUUAGCAUUUGCACA
This 677-nucleotide long non-coding RNA is filed under the name Coturnix japonica (Japanese quail). RNAcentral describes it as "lncRNA (ENSCJPG00005004353.1)". The record is from RNAcentral. Lineage: Eukaryota; Metazoa; Chordata; Aves; Galliformes; Phasianidae.